UAGCAUUUCUGUGGCCACCUCUGAGC
This 26-nucleotide non-coding RNA is filed under the name Rattus norvegicus (Norway rat). The record is from RNAcentral. Lineage: Eukaryota; Metazoa; Chordata; Mammalia; Rodentia; Muridae.